This 268-nucleotide small nuclear RNA is filed under the name Nannospalax galili (Upper Galilee mountains blind mole rat). RNAcentral's name for it is "7SK RNA (ENSNGAG00000008818.1)". It matches the Rfam family "7SK RNA", at positions 1 to 270 of the family's 331-position model. Rfam says of the family: 7SK was discovered as an abundant small nuclear RNA in the mid-70s but a possible function has only recently been suggested. The record is from RNAcentral. Lineage: Eukaryota; Metazoa; Chordata; Mammalia; Rodentia; Spalacidae.
AGAUUGGAUGACUGGCAGGGACAUUUUACCUCAUUGAUCAUCUGGGUUAAUUCAGUUGAUAAGGUAGGCUAGGAAGGUGUCUGCUUCCUCCCUCUCAAUUCCAUGUGUAUCUCUCCUGAAGAUGCAUGUUAGAUCAAACAAAACAACAUUUUCUAAUAGGGAAAGGGCUUUUCUUUGGUUGUGGGUAUGGGAGUAGCUGUGUUCCCCCAUGACAACAUCCAAACAGGCUUUCAUCAUGUACCUUUUGUACUGGAUCACAAUGUAGAUG